Molecule: long non-coding RNA, 528 nt
Organism: Stegodyphus dumicola
Lineage: Eukaryota; Metazoa; Arthropoda; Arachnida; Araneae; Eresidae
Source: RefSeq, a predicted model, not a curated record
AAUAAAAUUUAAGAAUUUAAAUGUCUGUUGCCAGUUGGUUUCAAUUAAGUUUAAUAAUUUCAUUUAAUCAUUUCAUUCAAUAUAUUUAAGCAUUUUUAUUGUAGGAAGAGGAGGAAAUGCCACCUGAAGCGAAAAUGAGGAUGAGAAAUAUAGGAAGAGACACGCCAACAUCUGCUGGUCCAAAUUCUUUUGGCAAAACCCGGCAAGGAUUCUGCGACUCAAAAAAAGUGUUUGAACGACAGUUGAAAGAAAAGAUGGAAGAAGUAGCUGAUAAAUGAGGAAGUGUUUUAAAUAACAGCCAUAUGUAUAUUUCAUAUACUCAUUUUUAAUCACACCAUUCAGCAUUGUUUUAUGUAGAUAUGUAUUUACAUAUUAACAGUGGUUUUGCUUCUCAUGCAGUGAUGUUAUGCAUUAUCAUGUUAUGUAAAUGUGGCUUUUAUCAUUAUGAAUGUGGUCAGCUAUGCAAAUUUGAAGGCCAUAAUGUUUUGGUGAUAUAAUAUGCAAAUAAAAUGUGAAAUGUUUUGUGAA